UCAAAUUCUUGUUUGUGCUUCAGUCUGAC
Molecule: non-coding RNA, 29 nt
Filed under: Mus musculus (house mouse)
Lineage: Eukaryota; Metazoa; Chordata; Mammalia; Rodentia; Muridae
Source: RNAcentral